This 647-nucleotide long non-coding RNA is filed under the name Papio anubis (olive baboon). Its description in RNAcentral is "lncRNA (ENSPANG00000041867.1)". Lineage: Eukaryota; Metazoa; Chordata; Mammalia; Primates; Cercopithecidae. The record is from RNAcentral.
UGACCUUGUGAUCCACCCGCCUCGGCCUCCCAAAGUGCUGGGAUUACAGGCUUGAGCCACCGCGCCCGGCCGAGAUCCAUUUUCUAAAAUGAGAUUCUCUGUGUGACUGUUAGGAGCAAUGGUGCCAUUUUGGUGGAUGGGCAGUGUGGCUUUCCCAGUGACCAGACAUUGAUCUCCAUGGCGAUUUGAAAACAAUUAUCCUUGACCACACAGAAGGGAGGCGAUAGUGUUCCAUGCACUCCCUGCUGCCAGGGUGGAGAUCCUCUCCAUGUCAUGGUGGCAUCUUCCUAGCAAGAGUAGAAAGAAAUGCCAUCCUGCCUGGGUCUCACCUGUAGGCAGGUAGGGUCUAUUUUCACAGUCAUGGACACCUCCACCUCCAGCAGAGAUUCAGCCCCAUUGCAGGAAGCACUCAUCAGUGGAAAUACCUGAAGAAGGAACUGUUCGCUUGGACUAAUGGUUGCUGAUCUGCGCGGACGAUGUAAUCUGCACCACAGUCUAACUUUCCCUUUUACAUGGUGACGUAUUUUAUAUGGAAACAAACCAACAGAUGUCUUUAACACUUCAGUUCCAACAUAGACAAAUUCAAGACUCUUGCCAUCUAGUUUGAAUAAAGGCUAACCUAAGCGGAGGCCAUGAGACAUCAUAGG